UCUGCUUCUUUUUUCACUGCAUAAUGUUUGUCCUUAUGUAUGCAUAGAGAUAGCAGCUAUAUAUGAGAAGAACUACAUUGGAUAUGUUGUUGUCGCUCUAGUUAUCUAGAAAAUAAGGUAGGUAUCCAUUCCUGCCGUGACAUGUUAAUUUCAAAAUUAUUUACACUGUCAAUGUAUAUUAGCUAUAUCCUCCAGAUUGGUCAUACCAUAGUCUUUAUUAAUUAAUUAAUUGAAAUAUAAACUAUAUAAUGCAGGCAACAUUUUGUGAACAGGUGGAUAUGGGGUGCCUCAGAUCCUAGGUACAUAUCAGAUGUUGACAUCAAUUGGGAGGAAGUAUCUCAAGUUUUAGAACAAUUGCCUGAAAAGAAAGUUGUUGAGAACAUAGGUCUUCUUAACUUCGACCAAGAUGAAAUCAUUGAAUGGAGACAAGUUGUUCCUGGUGCCAACCAAACAGUCCUUCACCUUGACUAUGCUGAAAAAAACAUAACAUGGGAAACAUUGUACCCUGAGUGGAUUGAUGAAGAACAAGAAAAUGAUGUUCCAAGUUGUCCUUCUUUGCCAAAACUAGAAGUUCCUAGGAAUCGUAUCGAUCUCAUAGCAGUCAAGUUACCAUGUAGAAAUGAAGGGAAUUGGUCUAGAGAUGUUGCGCGAUUGCACUUGCAACUUGCUGCUGGUGGUUUAGCUUCCUCUGCUAAGGGUAAACAUCUUGUGCAUUUGCUUUUCAUAACCAAAUGCUUCCCUAUACCAAAUCUUUAUGGUUGCAACGAGCUCGUUGCUAGAAAAGGUAACGCGUGGUUGUACAAGCCGGAUUUGAGUGUUCUAAGACGAAAACUUCAACUUCCUGUUGGAUCAUGUGAACUCGCACUUCCAUUUGGUACAACAGGUAAUGGUUUUUCCUUCUUUCAAUGUGAAUUCUAUAGACAUAUCAAGAAUUCAAUGUGAACUUGUCUAUGAUAGCAGAGGAAGUACAUUCAGGUAACAAAAGGCGCGAGGCUUAUGCAACAAUCUUGCAUUCAGCUCAUGUAUAUGUUUGUGGAGCCAUAGCAGCAGCACAAAGCAUUAGAAUGGCAGGGUCCACGCGAGACCUUGUGAUUCUCGUUGAUGAUUCGAUGGGUGAGUAUCAUAAGAGUGGACUUGAAGCAGCAGGUUGGCAAGUUAGGACUAUACAAAGAAUAAGAAACCCAAAAGCUGAGAAAGAUGCCUACAACGAGUGGAAUUAUAGCAAAUUCAGACUUUGGCAACUGACUGAUUAUGACAAGAUCAUAUUCAUUGAUGCUGAUCUGCUUAUACUUAGAAACAUCGACAUCUUAUUUAGGAUGCCACAGAUUUCAGCGACAGGUAACAAUGGCACGCUUUUUAACUCCGGAGUCAUGGUUAUCGAGCCAUCAAACUGCACGUUUCAGCUCCUAAUGGAUCACAUAAAUGAGAUUGAGUCCUAUAAUGGAGGCGAUCAAGGUUACCUAAACGAAAUAUUCACGUGGUGGCAUCGGAUACCAAAGCAUAUGAACUUCUAGAAAAACUUCUGGAUUGGCGAUGAUGAAGUAGUGAAAGCAAAGAAAACAAAUCUUUUCGGGGCUGAACCUCCAAUUCUUUAUGUCCUACAUUACCUCGGAUACAAGCCAUGGUUGUGUUUCCGGGACUAUGAUUGCAACUGGAACGUAGACAUCUUACAAGAAUUCGCGAGUGAUGUUGCACAUGACAAGUGGUGGAAAGUGCACGAUGCAAUGCCCGAGCAGUUGCAAGACUUUUGCCUGCUAAGAUCAAAGCAGAAGGCACAAUUGGAAUGGGAUAGAAGGGAAGCGGAGAAGGGAAACUAUGUUGAUGGACAUUGGAAAAUCAAGAUCAAAGAUGGACGACUUAAGAGAUGUACAGACAGGUUAUGCAAUUGGAAGGGUAUGUUAAAGCAUUGGGGGGAGAAGAAUUGGACAGAUGAUCCAUUUUUCCACCCCUCACCACCAACCUUAAAAACCAACAAAACCAAAAUAGCAUCUCUUUCUGGUAUAUAACAAGCAUUUUUUCUUUUUUGGCUUUUUUGCAUUCAAUCUUGUGAUAAGAGGGUAAAGGAUAUGAAGUUGCUUUCAGAAGCAAAGUUAGUCAUUUGAUGAAAUUUUCAGCUUUGAUAUAUACAUAGGUUUUGUGCUAUGUGUUGGACAGUACCUUCAAUUUGUGAGGGACUUUUAUAGCGUUUUCAGAUUUUAUACUUAUGUUUUCUAUGUUUCCACUCAAGUCUUUUUGACAUUUUUAGCACUUUUUUCAAUUUCUCUAUAUUCGUUCCGCUUAUUUUUAUAUAUUAUAGUGAAUUAAUGUUAUAAAAAAUAUAUAGUAUUAUAAUAGUAGAACAUGAGAUUUGGUUUCAAAAUCAAUUAUAGCAAUCAGACAUCAAUUUAGACAAUCUUGUAUGAGUGAUUAAUUAGAAGCAUUAAUCACUUCAGACAAUGUAGAAUUUGGGAAUAAUUGAUACUAUAUAUUAUAUUUUAAGUCUUUAAGAGAGUAUUCAUCCCAAAGUGAUUUAUUUUCAAUUUCAUUAGAACUUUGUCGAUAUUAUUUUUUGAAAAUUCGUCAUAGUUGAGAAUCUUGAAACGUACACUCUGAUGAUUAACACUUUAUGAACCUAAUCCUUCAUCAAAGUUCACACCUCAAAGACUCAAAUUCUUUGUCUUCUUACAAGGCAUUUCUCCUUAGCUUGCAAACACUAGGAUAAUCUUCUUCUUUUUCAUAAAACAAAAGGAUAAUCAUGAAGUAAUUAUUUAAUCCCUUGCAUAUUGGCAGACACAAUAAAUACCUAAACAAUAUAGAUAAAAGUGGAUCUAGGAUUUUAGAUCUAUGAAUUCAGCAUUUAAAAGUUAUGGGUUCAUAUCUACUAUUUAUUGUAAUUUACUGAUUUUUUAUAUAUCAAUUUAUGUUUCCCGUUAAAAGCACCCAGUUCAAUUAAACCCGGUGGCUCUAUACUGCAUCCGCCACUGAAUAUAAAGGGCUAGUUGGAUCCAGAGAAAGAAAAAAUAAACUUCCUAGUUUUUCAUAUUAAAAAAUAUAAAAGAAAAAUUAAUCUAACCACUUAGACGAAAAUAAAUCGAUAGAUAUAUAAUAUACGUGUAUGAGUAAAAUUCAGUUUAGCCCCUUAACCUUUAAGGCUUGGGAAAUUAUACCUCCCUUCAUACUUUGAAUAGAAACGACAAUCCCCUUGUACUAAGAAAACAAUUGGAAAAAAAAUAUUAUCAAUAAAAAUAAAAAUUCAAAAUGAACCCUCUUUUUGGAGGGAAUACUUUUGGCGCUAGAAAAAGUUUCUCGCUGUAUUAAGGUAACUAGCAUAAAUUCCAAUGUUUACUUUUAACUUUUAAGCAAAAACUUUACAUAAAAAUUUGGAAAAAACCUAGAAUCAUCUGAAAACUAGACGAACUUUUCAAGGUAAGUUACCUUUUCACCAUUACAAUAUAAUGUCAUAUAAGUGGUUUUGUGCUUGUGCACAAGUUCCAAAGAUUGUAUAUAUCUUUAUAAUAUAUUCUAAUUAUAAUAUUAUAAUGCAGAUUCUAUGUAUCAGAAGAACGAAAUACAGAUAUUGAAAGGUAUUGCUCAACAGCAAUGGGGGAAUUUUAAUAUUUUACAAAAUCAACUUCUCACUCAAUAUCUAGAGAGCGGAUACUAUGCAUCUCUUUCACUUUUUUAUUUGUCAAGUGGAUAAAGUUUUGUCCGUCCAAUCCAAUAUAUUUUUAAAACUCUUUAAAUUUAUAAAAGUUUCAAGACACGCUAAGUAUAAAAAAAAUUUAAUCUUGCUUAGAGUGCAUAAAAAUUAUACUUUUAUUACGAAUUUAAAUCCUUAUUAUUGACUUUUGAGUUCCUUCUCUAUUUAUAAAUAAUUGCUUGUAAAAUUAUACGGAUUCUAUUUUAAUUAUUAAAAAUAGAUAUAAUUAUUAGUCUAGUCAAAACCAAAAAUAUAACAAAAUAACGCCUAAAGCCCAUAAAGGGCUGUUGAAAAGCAAAAGGAUUAAAGAGUUGAAAGUCUUACGCCUUGGACGAAAGGUUAGGGAAAACCAAAGUAACAGACAACAUGCUCCCAAUCAACACCUCCCAACCAAAACCACCAGAAAACUUAAGCCCUCCUCUAACUUCACCUCCAUCUACUAUCCCCACUUAUAAUCCUGACACGGAUACUAGUAUGAACAUUAACCGCCAGGAUCCAGUAAAAGUUCUUGGCCAAAUCAUAUCUCCAAAUUUUAAACACAAAUAACUCUUCCUUGACACAGCAUAUAUCUCCACAAUGAAGCACUGUGAGUUUGGAGUAUAUAGAUGAACUUGAUACACCAACUGAUCCUUCAAAUUUUACAUCACUAUCU
This 4331-nucleotide long non-coding RNA is filed under the name Nicotiana benthamiana. RNAcentral's name for it is "long non-coding RNA (NBEN_LNC029534)". The record is from RNAcentral. Lineage: Eukaryota; Viridiplantae; Streptophyta; Magnoliopsida; Solanales; Solanaceae.